This 219-nucleotide unclassified non-coding RNA is filed under the name uncultured fungus. RNAcentral's name for it is "sequence contains ITS1". The record is from RNAcentral. Lineage: Eukaryota; Fungi.
AAAGAGAUUUGGUCUCGUACCAGAUUGACACUUGUGUGCACCAUUGUCUGUUUUUGGUAGUUCGAGUGCCCUCCUGGUUUAUUCCGGGAGCGCCUACCCUCGCUGUGUCCUCCGGGGUGCUGCUUGGGUUGGUCUACCGUUUUUUUGACAAACAUUUUGUAUCCUGUUUUUUCUUUGUCUGAACUAAGAUUUAAUCUUGAUUGAUUAAUGAUUUUAUAA